CCUACGGGAGGCAGCAGUAAGGAAUAUUGCGCAAUGGGCGAAAGCCUGACGCAGCGACGCCGCGUGGGGGAUGAAGGUCUUCGGAUUGUAAACCCCUUUCGGGAGGGAAGAUGGAACGAGCAAUCGUUCGGACGGUACCUCCAGAAGCAGCCACGGCCAACUUCGUGCCAGCAGCCGCGGUAAU
Molecule: ribosomal RNA, 184 nt
Filed under: uncultured Nitrospira sp.
Lineage: Bacteria; Pseudomonadati; Nitrospirota; Nitrospiria; Nitrospirales; Nitrospiraceae
Description: partial 16S ribosomal RNA
Rfam family: Bacterial small subunit ribosomal RNA
Source: RNAcentral